This 1395-nucleotide ribosomal RNA is filed under the name uncultured bacterium. RNAcentral's name for it is "16S ribosomal RNA". It matches the Rfam family "Bacterial small subunit ribosomal RNA". The record is from RNAcentral.
CUUACACAUGCAGUCGAGGGGCAGCGCGGGAGUAGCAAUACUUCUGGCGGCGACCGGCAGAAGGGUGCGUAACGCGUGAACAACAUGCCCGUAACAAGAGGAUAACCGGUGGAAACGUCGUCUAAUACUCUAUAUGAAUAUUUAUCGCAUGGUAAAUAUUUAAAAUUUUCGGAGGUUACGGAUUGGUUCGCGUCCCAUUAGGUAGACGGAGAGGUAACGGCUCACCGUGCCGACGAUGGGUAGGGGUUCUGAGAGGAAGGUCCCCCACAAUGGAACUGAGACACGGUCCAUACUCCUACGGGAGGCAGCAGUGCAGGAAUAUUGGUCAAUGGGCGGAAGCCUGAACCAGCCAUGCCUGCGUGCAGCGAAGGAGGCCCUAUGGGUCGUAAACUGCUUUUGCCGCAGAGCAAUAAGAGAUACGGGAUAUCUUGAUGAGAGUAUGCGGUGAAUAAGCAUCGGCUAACUCCGUGCCAGCAGCCGCGGUAAUACGGAGGAUGCGAGCGUUAUCCGGAUUUAUUGGGUUUAAAGGGUGCGUAGGCGGCGUCACAAGUCAGGGGUGAAAAGCUAGUGCUUAACACUGGUCUUGCCUUUGAUACUGUGGUGCUAGAGUGCUCCUGCCGCAGGAGGAAUGAGUGGUGUAGCGGUGAAAUGCAUAGAUAUCACUCAGAACACCGAUUGCGAAGGCAUCUUGCGAAGGGGCGACUGACGCUGAGGCACGAAAGCGUGGGGAUCGAACAGGAUUAGAUACCCUGGUAGUCCACGCUGUAAACGAUGAUGACUAACCGCCGGCGAUAGAUGGUUCGGUGGCCAAGCGAAAGCGAUAAGUCAUCCACCUGGGGAGUACGACCGCAAGGUUGAAACUCAAAGGAACUGACGGGGGCCCGCACAAGCGGAGGAACAUGUGGUUUAAUUCGAUGAUACGCGAGGAACCUUACCCGGGCUCGAACGGCUAGUGAACGGAGCAGAGAUGCCGAGGUCCUUCGGGACGCUAGUCGAGGUGCUGCAUGGUUGUCGUCAGCUCGUGCCGUGAGGUGUCGGCUUAAGUGCCAUAACGAGCGCAACCCCUCUCUCCAGUUGCCAUCGGGUCAUGCCGGGCACUCUGGAGACACUGCCACCGCAAGGUGCGAGGAAGGUGGGGAUGACGUCAAAUCAGCACGGCCCUUACGUCCGGGGCUACACACGUGUUACAAUGGUGGGCACAGAGAGUCAGAUGCGGGCAACCGCUUCUUAAUCCCGAAAUCCCAUCUCAGUUCGGACUGGGGUCUGCAACCCGACCCCACGAGGCUGGAUUCGCUAGUAAUCGCGCAUCAGCCAUGGCGCGGUGAAUACGUUCCCGGGCCUUGUACACACCGCCCGUUAAGCCAUGAAAGCCGGGGGCGCCUGAAGUCCGUGACC